AGCUAGAGUAAUGAUAUGACCACCACCUCUUGUGCACAAACAAUAUUGUAUAAACUAAUGCGACAUAAUAUGAUUGGUUAAACAAAAACAUUACAUGGCCCUCAUAAUUUAUUUAUUUAUUUAUUAUUAUUAUUAUAUAUUUUCAGUCAACCAAUCAUAUUAUAUCACAUUAGUUUCUAUAAAAUAAUUUGCUAAAUAGCACCAAAACUUAAUUGAUACUCACCAUUUCAUUGAACAAUUUUUUUAUGGUGUCAUUGAGGUUGCCUUCCCAACAUCGUUCAUCAUCAUCUUUUUCUUCUUUGGUGACGUUCACUUUGUUUAGCAUUGGUGUGUCUAAGAGUCCUUGAGAGAAGAUCUUCAUUUUUGGACACUGUCUCACAACUACUUGUUUCAAGGACGGGAAUUCAAGAGCGUAAUUACCUAAACUGAGCAAAAAAUUGUAAAUAUGUAGAACCAAAUUAUUCAAGUACAGAAGAACGAGCAAGCUAAAUCAUGUAUAAGAGAUUGGCCUGGUUCGGGAUAGCUUCUUCACUGUAUCUGAAGGGUUGGCUCAAUCUCUUCUUUAGAAUUCUGCAGAUUUUGUAAUUACUCGUGUAAGCAAGUAUACAUUGCCACCAUAAGAAUAAUGAAGCUAGAGUAAUGAUAUGACCACCACCUCUUGUGCACAAACAAUAUUGUAUAAACUAAUGCGACAUAAUAUGAUUGGUUAAACAAAAACAUUACAUGGCCCUCAUAAUUUAUUUUAUUAUUAUUAUUAUAUAUUUUCAGUCAACCAAUCAUAUUAUAUCACAUUAGUUUCUAUAAAAUAAUUAGCUAAAUAGCACCAAAACUUAAUUGAUACUCACCAUUUCAUUGAACAAUUUUUUUAUGGUGUCAUUGAGGUUGCCUUCCCAACAUCCUUCAUCAUCAUCAUCUUCUUCUUCGGUGACGUUCACUUUGUUUAGCAUUGGUGUGUCUAAGAGUCCUUGAGAGAAGAUCUUCAUUUUUGGACACUGUCUCACAACUACUUGUUUCAAGGACGGGAAUUCAAG
Molecule: long non-coding RNA, 1031 nt
Filed under: Citrus sinensis (sweet orange)
Lineage: Eukaryota; Viridiplantae; Streptophyta; Magnoliopsida; Sapindales; Rutaceae
Description: long non-coding RNA (CSIN_LNC004986)
Source: RNAcentral